AGGGUUUCCUUGUUAGAAGAUACAAAGCCAAAGACUCAUACGGACCUGGCUACAACAUCAAAGCUUUGAGAAGUAAGAAGAAGCUUGGUUAGUAAUUUGGAGUCGAAUAUGACUUUAUGUCAUGUGUAUGAUUGAGUACAAGAACUUAAAGAGCAACCGGAUCUUAAAACCCUAAGUAGUGUUUCCUUGUUAGAAGAUACAAAUCCAAAGACUCAUACAGACUUCGGUUUCACCAUCAAACUUUGAGAAGCAAGAAGAAGCUAGGUUAACCUUUUGGAGUCGAAUAUGACUUGAUGUCAUGUGUAUGACUGAGUACAAAAACAAGAACCGCAACGGAUCUUAAAAGCCUAAGUAUUGUAUCCUUGUUAGAAGAUACAAAGACAUAGACUCAUACCGAGUUUGGCUAAACCAUCAAAGCUUUUAGAAGCAAGAAGAAGCUUGGUUAGUGUUUUGGAGUGAAAUAUGACUAGAUGUCAUGUGUUUU
RNAcentral lists this small RNA (484 nucleotides) under Arabidopsis thaliana (thale cress). RNAcentral's name for it is "ATSL269030". Lineage: Eukaryota; Viridiplantae; Streptophyta; Magnoliopsida; Brassicales; Brassicaceae. The record is from RNAcentral.